Molecule: ribosomal RNA, 464 nt
Filed under: uncultured bacterium
Lineage: Bacteria
Description: partial 16S ribosomal RNA
Rfam family: Bacterial small subunit ribosomal RNA
Source: RNAcentral
GACGAACGCUGGCGGCGUGCUUAACACAUGCAAGUCGAACGGAAAGGCCCAGCUUGCGGGGUGCUCGCGUGGCGAACGGGUGUGUAACACGUGUGUGAUCUGCCCCUAACUUCGGGAUAAGCUUGGGAAACUGGGUCUAAUACCGGAUAGGACAACCGUUGAUGGUCGGUUGUGGAAAGUUUUUUCGGUUGGGGAUGAGCCCGCGGCCUAUCAGCUUGUUGGUGGGGUAAUGGCCUACCAAGGCGUCGACGGGUAGCCGGCCUGAGAGGGUGGACGGCCACAUUGGGACUGAGAUACGGCCCAGACUCCUACGGGAGGCAGCAGUGGGGAAUAUUGCACAUUGGGCGCAAGCCUGAUGCAGCGACGCCGCGUGGGGGAUGACGGCCUUCGGGUUGUAAACCUCUUUCGACAGUGACGAAGCUUUGGUGACGGUACCUGGAGAAGAAGCACCGGCUAACUACGUG